Molecule: ribosomal RNA, 567 nt
Filed under: uncultured bacterium
Lineage: Bacteria
Description: bacterial SSU rRNA
Rfam family: Bacterial small subunit ribosomal RNA
Source: RNAcentral
GAAACCGGCGAACGGGUGCGAAACACGUGAGGAACCUGCCCCGAAGACCGGGAUAGCCCGAGGAAACUCGGAUUAAUACCGGAUACCCUCUUUGGACCACAUGGUCGAUUGAGGAAAUGGUCCGCCGCUUCGGGAUGGCCUCGCGGCCUAUCAGCUUGUUGGUGGCAUGCUAAUGGCUCACCAAGGCCGAGACGGGUAGCUGGUCUGAGAGGACGAUCAGCCACACUGGGACUGAGACACGGCCCAGACUCCUACGGGAGGCAGCAGCAGGGAAUAUUGCACAAUGGGCGAAAGCCUGUGGCAGCGACACCGCGUGCGGGAUGAAGGCCUUCGGGUUGUAAACCGCUUUCAGGAGGGACGAAAAUGACGGUACCUCCAGAAGAAGGCCCGGCCAACUACGUGCCAGCAGCCGCGGUAAUACGUAGGGGCCAAACGUUGUCCGGAUUUAUUGGGCGUAAAGGGCUCGUAGGCGGUUCAACAAGUCGGUCGUGAAAGCCCGGGGCUCACCCCGGGACGCCNGUCGAAACUGUUGUGACUAGGGGUCCGGUAAAGGUGAGUGGCCUACGU